AGCAGCUGCAACCAUCCCACAAUGUGCAUAACCUAAAACUAAGUUGCUGACUCCUCCCUCAUGCACAACAGUAUGAUGAAAUGGCACAACAGCUCCGGUAACAGCCGUCAAAGUAUCCUUGACACUAUGCGUCCCACGAAUAAGUAAAAGGAAAUAUUUUGUCUUGUGAUCAACUAAAAUUGUAAAAGCUGGCUUCAAUAUUCCUGCUUUAGGUUCUUGAAGAAGAACAUUUUCUUCAGUAUGUCCUGUCUCCUCCAAAAAUAAAGGAAAUGG
This 273-nucleotide unclassified non-coding RNA is filed under the name Hevea brasiliensis (rubber tree). Lineage: Eukaryota; Viridiplantae; Streptophyta; Magnoliopsida; Malpighiales; Euphorbiaceae. The record is from RNAcentral.